This 75-nucleotide transfer RNA is filed under the name Salmonella enterica subsp. enterica serovar Heidelberg. RNAcentral describes it as "tRNA-Gln". Lineage: Bacteria; Pseudomonadati; Pseudomonadota; Gammaproteobacteria; Enterobacterales; Enterobacteriaceae. The record is from RNAcentral.
UGGGGUAUCGCCAAGCGGUCAGGCACCGGUUUUUGAUCCCGGCCUUCCCUGGUUCCAAACGAGUUUCCCCGGCCA